Molecule: ribosomal RNA, 214 nt
Filed under: Haemaphysalis longicornis (longhorned tick)
Lineage: Eukaryota; Metazoa; Arthropoda; Arachnida; Ixodida; Ixodidae
Description: partial large subunit ribosomal RNA
Source: RNAcentral
UUUGGGACAAGAAGACCCUAUGAAUUUUUAUAAACUUUAAUAUUUAAUUAAAUAUUAAAGUUUAUUUAAUUGGGGCGAUUGAGAAAGAUAAAAAACUUUUUUUAUUUAAAGAGAUCCAUUAUUAAUGAUUUUAUGUAAAAAAUACUCUAGGGAUAACAGCGUAAUAAUUUUAGAUAGAUCUUAUAGAAAAAAUAGUUUGCGACCUCGAUGUUGG